This is a long non-coding RNA of Chelonoidis abingdonii (Abingdon island giant tortoise), 2779 nucleotides long. RefSeq lists it as uncharacterized. The record is from RefSeq and is a predicted model, not a curated record. Lineage: Eukaryota; Metazoa; Chordata; Testudines; Testudinidae.
GCGGGGGCAGGGAGAGGAAGCAAAGAGAGUGCAAGAGAAAAAUCAAACUUGGCUACCAAAUUAUAGAUCAGUUAGUGGCGGGGGAGGGGGGGGUGAGAAGAUAUAAUUAGUGACAGAGUCUGGAGGCCCCCGCCUCCCCCCGCACUGGGGGCUGACUGAGUGGGCAAGGGAGGCAGGGCGGUGAGCCAGGCGAGCUGGAGCGGUGCAGGGCUACCCCCCAUCUCUUCCCACCCCGCAGCCUCAGCGCAAAGCUACAGCGCGGCUGCGGAGGAGAAGCAGCAGCGGCAGCUACCUGGGAGCAGACGGAGCCGUAAAGGAAGUAGCUGAGGCUGAGAACCUGAAAGUAGCGAAUCCCUAGCGGCUUCCCUCGAGCUGCACUGACCCCAGCAUACAGGGCUUGCUGCAAACUGUUUUCAGCUCCCCUCAUUCAAUCCAACAGCAGCCAGAGGCCUAUGAAGCUCUGUCAUUUCAUGAGAUUCAGCCACACAUACUUGAAGCCAUGCAUGCCUCUCAAACCGGGGCAAUGGUUCCUUGCUUCAGAGGUUGCAAAAUUGUAGUGGGAAGUAUACAAAUCCAUGUUUGGAGCUCAGGAUCUCCUCUUUCAUAGCUCCAUCAAGCAACAAGAAUGUUUUAGAAGUAGGAUCAGAGGGUUGAAUUUAGGGAGGGGGAUGCAAAGAAAUGAUGAACGAUGUUAACUUUUGACUGCAGGAGUCAUGAUAGAGUUGAGUGAAGCUUCAGGGAAAUAAAUCAUUUAAUCCCAGAGCUACCGAAGUCACCUUUUCAAACAUUUUGAGGCUUGAAAUCAUACUGCUAUAAAAGCGAAUGAAUACUUAAAAGUAUCAAACAUUAAGAAAUGUAGAUAUAUUAGGAAUGGAUCCAAAAUUAGAAAAAAAUAACCACGCGAUCAUGAAAAUAUCAACCAAAUUAUAUCUCCCAAGGAAAACAACAACAACAACGGCAUCAGCAAAAUUGUAGCUCUUGCAUUCACUAAAGGAGAAUAGACAGCAUGUGCAUGUUUGUGUGAAAUGCCAAAAAGAGCAGCCUUAAGCUUGACCUACUGCAAUCUGCACUGAGCUCCUCAGACAAUAGACAAGUUCAAAUGUCAAAAAAUCUAAUAAUAAAAAACAGAGCUGCCAAACUGCAUGAACUGUUUUCUAGUGUACCACAAUUAUUCACCCUCUUAUCCACUAAGAGACUGCCAGUCUUAUGCGCGUAAAAGAAAAUCUAUGUAAUGCAUAUAGAUUUUUUAAAAAAUGUAAAACGCGAUUGAGAUUGCCAGCAAGCAAAUCAGAAUAUGUCUAAUAAAAGCAGAGCUAAGGUUUCCACAGCCUUGGAAAGACGCUAACUUGUAAAUCCUUUUUUUAUGUUGCUACAUGUACAAUUAUUCUUAUAAAUAAAAAUCUACGUGUUCGAGGAGCUAGGUUGUAACUAUCUAUCCGGAGAAUUUUAAGGGAGGUGGUGACAUUAAGCUUCAUGUGCAAUGUGUCUGCAUGGAACUCAAGCCAGCAGAUAGAUUAUUCCAUUCAUUUGAGCACUUUCAUUACUAUGCAUGUUAGGUGCACCCUAAACACAGUAGAGCGUAUAAUAUCAGAAAUGUGCUGUUCUAAACGUACCUAUAUUUUCAAAUAGAUCUUAAUUGUAUGUGUAGUACUGUGUUACAUUAUUAAUUUAUUACAGAAUCAGAAAUUAUUUAUUACCCUAAACAAUAAAUAAGGUUCAUACUGGAAUCUUCGCAAUUAAAUGUAUGGAUAAAAGAUCAUCCUGCCUAUUGUGUAUGUCCUUGUUACUGUAAGCCUUUAAAAGUAAUAUGUCUUUUUUCCUCUUUUCUCCAGAUUGGCUGGCGUAAUAUCUGUUGUCCAACUAUCAACGGUUAUAUGAAUUUCUAUAUGGGUAAGGUUUAAAAACAGAGCAAAUCACAUUAUCUGGGAAUGCUACAAAUCUGGAAUCCACUCAACUCCACCUUCUCAUCUGACUGCUGUGUUAUAAAGGAAAACAUUUUACAUAUAGCAUACUGUAUAUGUAGCAUGUCUUUGUUUAACAUUUUAAUUUGUAAAUGCUAAUUAGGCAGUUGCUCUCCACAAUUAUAUUAUUACACACCUAAUCAUUCUCGAAUAUAAGUAGAUGAAUACUAAAUACAGUAAAUAGUAUUUCCUAAUACCUCGGCACUGUUCUUCAUUUUGCAAAUGAGUCUUUCCGGACAAAAUAAUUAAAACAACAAAAACCACAAAAACAAAAAACUCUUUGUAGCUUUGUUUUAAUUGUUCUGGCACUUAAGGCAUAAACGUGGCGGUCACAUCCAAAUAAUAUAUUUAACAGCCAGCAUGGAAAGUAACUAUCAAAUUAACUUGUUGCUCGUUUUAAGUGUUAAUGUUUUCUAUUUGCUUUCAUUCGCUUCUAUGUAUACAGACAGUGAGUCAUACAGGAAUAAGACUGAGGAGUUGACCUACUAGAAUUGUUUUUUUGGACUAUAAAUUCAAGUUUCAUUUGAGGUAGAAAAAGGACAAAGCGCGAACUGCACGAAAAUGCAAUAUUUUUCAAAUAUGGAAUAUUAACCAUCACUGGCCUCUCUAAACUCAAAAUCCCAUGGUCAUAUGUCCAAAAACUGUCUGAUAAACAAUGGUAAAUCCAAGACUCUGUGGUGACGUUUGUGAAGAAAAUUGCACUAUAGAUAUGUACCCUAAUAGUCUGGGAAAUAGUCAUUGCUUUCUUUGGCAAAUGCGGUAUGGUGGGAAGUUUUAGUCAUGUAAAUAUCUCCAUGCAUUUUCAGUCAUAUUCAAUA